CCUACGGGAGGCAGCAGUGGGGAAUUUUGGACAAUGGGCGCAAGCCUGAUCCAGCAAUGCCGCGUGCCGGAUGGAGGCUUUCGCCUUGUUAACUGCUUUUGUACGGAACGAAACGGUCCGCCUUAAUACGGUGGGCUAAUGACGGUACCGUAAGAAUAAGCACCGGCUAACUACGUG
RNAcentral lists this ribosomal RNA (177 nucleotides) under uncultured bacterium. RNAcentral describes it as "partial 16S ribosomal RNA". It matches the Rfam family "Bacterial small subunit ribosomal RNA", at positions 338 to 507 of the family's 1533-position model. The record is from RNAcentral.